Molecule: ribosomal RNA, 440 nt
Filed under: uncultured bacterium
Lineage: Bacteria
Description: partial 16S ribosomal RNA
Rfam family: Bacterial small subunit ribosomal RNA
Source: RNAcentral
CCUACGGGAGGCAGCAGUGGGGAAUAUUGCACAAUGGGGGAAACCCUGAUGCAGCGACGCCGCGUGAGUGAAGAAGUAAUUCGUUAUGUAAAGCUCUAUCAGCAGGGAAGAAAAUGACGGUACCUGAGUACGAAGCCACGGCUAACUACGUUCCAGCAGCCGCGGGAAUACGUAGGGGGCAAGCGUUAUCCGGAUUUACUGGGUGUAAAGGGAGCGUAGACGGCCGUGCAAGUCUGGAGUGAAAGGCGGGGGCUCAACCCCCGGACUGCUCUGGAAACUGUACGGCGGGAGUGCAGGAGAGGUAAGUGGAAUUCCUAGUGUAGCGGUGAAAUGCGUAGAUAUUAGGCGGAACCCCAGUGGCGAAGGCGGCUUACUGGACUGUAACUGACGUUGAGGCGCGAAAGCGUGGGGAGCAAACAGGAUUAGAUACCCCUGUAGUC